AGUGAACGCUGGCGGUAGGCCUAACACAUGCAAGUCGAACGGCAGCACAGUAAGAGCUUGCUCUUACGGGUGGCGAGUGGCGGACGGGUGAGGAAUACAUCGGAAUCUACUUUUUCGUGGGGGAUAACGUAGGGAAACUUACGCUAAUACCGCAUACGACCUACGGGUGAAAGCAGGGGAUCUUCGGACCUUGCGCGAUUGAAUGAGCCGAUGUCGGAUUAGCUAGUUGGCGGGGUAAAGGCCCACCAAGGCGACGAUCCGUAGCUGGUCUGAGAGGAUGAUCCGCCACACUGGAACUGAGACACGGUCCAGACUCCUAAGGGAGGCAGCAGUGGGGAAUAUUGGGCAAUGGGCGCAAGCCUGAUCCAGCCAUACCGCGUGGGUGAAGAAGGCCUUCGGGUUGUAAAGCCCUUUUGUUGGGAAAGAAAAGCAGCAGGUUAAUACCCCGCUGUUCUGACGGUACCCAAAGAAUAAGCACCGGCUAACUUCGUG
Molecule: ribosomal RNA, 492 nt
Filed under: uncultured bacterium
Lineage: Bacteria
Description: partial 16S ribosomal RNA
Rfam family: Bacterial small subunit ribosomal RNA
Source: RNAcentral